AGAGUUUGAUCCUGGCUCAGGACGAACGCUGGCGGCGUGCUUAACACAUGCAAGUCGAACGGAAAGGCCCUUCGGGGUACUCGAGUGGCGAACGGGUGAGUAACGCGUGGGUGAUCUGCCCUGCACUUUGGGAUAAGCCUGGGAAACUGGGUCUAAUACCGAAUACACCCUUCUGGCUGCAUGGUCUGGUUGGGGAAAGCUUUUGCGGUGUGGGAUGGGCCCGCGGCCUAUCAGCUUGUUGGUGAGGUUACGGCUCACCAAGGCGACGACGGGUAGCCGGCCUGAGAGGGUGACCGGCCACACUGGGACUGAGAUACGGCCCAGACUCCUACGGGAGGCAGCAGUGGGGAAUAUUGCACAAUGGGCGCAAGCCUGAUGCAGCGACGCCGCGUGAGGGAUGACGGCCUUCGGGUUGUAAACCUCUUUCGCCAGGGACGAAGCGCAAGUGACGGUACCUGGAGAAGAAGGACCGGCCAACUACGUGCCAGCAGCCGCGGUAUACGUAGGGUCCGAGCGUUGUCCGGAAUUACUGGGCGUAAAGAGCUCGUGGGUGGUUUGUCGCGUUGUUCGUGAAAACUCACAGCUCAACUGUGGGCGUGCGGGCGAUACGGGCAGACUGGAGUACUGCAGGGGAGACUGGAAUUCCUGGUGUAGCGGUGGAAUGCGCAGAUAUCAGGAGGAACACCGGUGGCGAAGGCGGGUCUCUGGGCAGUAACUGACGCUGAGGAGCGAAAGCGUGGGGAGCGAACAGGAUUAGAUACCCUGGUAGUCCACGCCGUAAACGGUGGGUACUAGGUGUGGGUUUCCUUCCUUGGGAUCCGUGCCGUAGCUAACGCAUUAAGUACCCCGCCUGGGGAGUACGGCCGCAAGGCUAAAACUCAAAGAAAUUGACGGGGGCCCGCACAAGCGGCGGAGCAUGUGGAUUAAUUCGAUGCAACGCGAAGAACCUUACCUGGGUUUGACAUGCACAGGACGUGCCUAGAGAUAGGUAUUCCCUUGUGGCCUGUGUGCAGGUGGUGCAUGGCUGUCGUCAGCUCGUGUCGUGAGAUGUUGGGUUAAGUCCCGCAACGAGCGCAACCCUUAUCUUAUGUUGCCAGCGCGUAAUGGCGGGGACUCGUGAGAGACUGCCGGGGUCAACUCGGAGGAAGGUGGGGAUGACGUCAAGUCAUCAUGCCCCUUAUGUCCAGGGCUUCACACAUGCUACAAUGGCCGGUACAAAGGGCUGCGAUGCCGUGAGGUGGAGCGAAUCCUUUCAAAGCCGGUCUCAGUUCGGAUCGGGGUCUGCAACUCGACCCCGUGAAGUCGGAGUCGCUAGUAAUCGCAGAUCAGCAACGCUGCGGUGAAUACGUUCCCGGGCCUUGUACACACCGCCCGU
RNAcentral lists this ribosomal RNA (1375 nucleotides) under Mycobacterium sp. py147. RNAcentral describes it as "bacterial SSU rRNA". It matches the Rfam family "Bacterial small subunit ribosomal RNA". The record is from RNAcentral. Lineage: Bacteria; Bacillati; Actinomycetota; Actinomycetes; Mycobacteriales; Mycobacteriaceae.